UACGUAGGUGGCAAGCGUUAUCCGGAAUUACUGGGCGUAAAGCGCGCGUAGGCGGCUUUGUAAGUCGGAUGUGAAAGCCCUGGGCUCAACCUGGGAAGUGCAUUGGAUACUGGCAAACUUGAGUACGGGAGAGGAUAGUGGAAUUUCGAGUGUAGGGGUGAAAUCCGUAGAUAUUCGAAGGAACACCGGUGGCGAAGGCGGCUAUCUGGACCGAUACUGACGCUGAGACGCGAAAGCGUGGGGAGCAAACAGG
RNAcentral lists this ribosomal RNA (253 nucleotides) under uncultured bacterium. RNAcentral describes it as "partial 16S ribosomal RNA". It matches the Rfam family "Bacterial small subunit ribosomal RNA", at positions 524 to 776 of the family's 1533-position model. The record is from RNAcentral.